RNAcentral lists this ribosomal RNA (621 nucleotides) under uncultured archaeon. RNAcentral's name for it is "bacterial SSU rRNA". It matches the Rfam family "Archaeal small subunit ribosomal RNA", at positions 526 to 1153 of the family's 1478-position model. The record is from RNAcentral.
UGGCUAAGUUAGUCCCCUGUUAAAUCCACCGAAUUAAUCGUUGGAUUGCGGGGGAAACUGCUUGGCUAGGGGACGAGAGAGGCAGACGGUAUUUCCGGGGUAGGGGUGAAAUCCUAUAAUCCCGGGAAGACCACCAGUGGCGAAGGCUGUCUGCUAGAACGCGCCCGACGGUGAGGGAUGAAAGCUGGGGGAGCGAACCGGAUUAGAUACCCGGGUAGUCCCAGCUGUAAACGAUGCAGGCUAGGUGUUUGGACGGCCACGUGCCGUUCUAGUGCCGCAGGGAAGCUGUUAAGCCUGCCGCCUGGGGAGUACGAUCGCAAGAUUGAAACUUAAAGGAAUUGGCGGGGGAGCACCACAAGGGGUGAAGCUUGCGGUUUAAUUGGAGUCAACGCCGGAAAUCUCACCGGGAGCGACAGCAGUGUGAAGGCCAGAUUAAAGGUCUUGCCAGACGAGCUGAGAGGAGGUGCAUGGCCGUCGCCAGUUCGUGCCGUGAGGUGUCCUGUUAAGUCAGGCAACGAUCGAGACCCGCGUCCUCUGUUGCAACUAGCCUUGUGCUGGGCACACUGAGGAGACCGCCACUGAUAAAGUGGAGGAAGGAGCGGGCCACGGCAGGUCCGCAUG